Molecule: long non-coding RNA, 219 nt
Filed under: Elaeis guineensis (African oil palm)
Lineage: Eukaryota; Viridiplantae; Streptophyta; Magnoliopsida; Arecales; Arecaceae
Description: long non-coding RNA (EGUI_LNC065251)
Source: RNAcentral
UCUAUUAAUCUGAAGUUUCUACAAUAAAUUACAGAUAUGAAUUGAACUUUUGAUAUUCAAUACCCAAGUAGUAGUAUCACAGAUAGAAAAAUUAUAAGAUGUUAUCAUAUAAGGAUCUUAUCUAGCAACUAUUUGCUGAUUUCUCUUCCUAGGCCUGUCCGUUUUUGCCUGACUCUGAUUUGUCUUAGAUUGGUUAGUUUGAUUGGACUUUGAAGCCCU